Molecule: ribosomal RNA, 494 nt
Filed under: uncultured bacterium
Lineage: Bacteria
Description: bacterial SSU rRNA
Rfam family: Bacterial small subunit ribosomal RNA
Source: RNAcentral
GAUGAACGCUAGCGGCAGGCUUAACACAUGCAAGUCGAGGGGUAUUGGUUUUCGGACCAAGAGACCGGCGCACGGGUGCGUAACGCGUAUGCAAUCUACCUUUUGCAGAGGGAUAGCCCCAGAGAAAUUUGGAUUAAUACCUCAUAGUAUAGUACUUUGGCAUCAAGGAACUAUUAAAGUCACAACGGCAAAAGAUGAGCAUGCGUCCCAUUAGCUAGUUGGUAAGGUAACGGCUUACCAAGGCUACGAUGGGUAGGGGUCCUGAGAGGGAGAUCCCCCCACACUGGUACUGAGACACGGACCAGACUCCUACGGGAGGCAGCAGUGAGGAAUAUUGGACAAUGGGCGCAAGCCUGAUCCAGCCAUGCCGCGUGCAGGAUGACGGUCCUAUGGAUUGUAAACUGCUUUUGUACAGGAAGAAACACUACUUCGUGAAGUAGCUUGACGGUACUGUAAGAAUAAGGAUCGGCUAACUCCGUGCCAGCAGCCGCGGC